Molecule: RNase P RNA, 314 nt
Filed under: Henningerozyma blattae CBS 6284
Lineage: Eukaryota; Fungi; Ascomycota; Saccharomycetes; Saccharomycetales; Saccharomycetaceae
Description: Tetrapisispora blattae CBS 6284 Nuclear RNase P
Rfam family: Nuclear RNase P
About the family: Ribonuclease P (RNase P) is a ubiquitous endoribonuclease, found in archaea, bacteria and eukarya as well as chloroplasts and mitochondria.
Source: Rfam by way of RNAcentral
CUCACCCUGAGCCCGGCACAACCUGUUUACAAAAAGCCCUAGAGGCCACAAACUGCAGGUGGGAAAUUCGGUGGAACACAGCAGACGGGUCAUCGGGCAACCCUGUUCGAUGACCGACGCAACCCUAUCUGUGAAGACGCUGGCGGAAUCCAGUGAGCGUCCAAGCUGCCAGUAGAAAAUAGCCGCCUAGGUGGCAUGGGAGUGCAGCGGGCCGUCUGCUUGGCGCACGGCUCUUGUGAGACUUGUGUGGCCUGUUGAGUGCAAUUGCCAGGGUCCUUCCGUGGGACAACGCGAUACCGAUUACUCAGGAUGUG